GUACUUGUGUUGCAAGUCUCGGAGGCCGAGAGUAGGUUCGUUAGUGGGAUAGCUCAUAAGUAGUGCGCAUUUUCUGUAUUCAUAAAGCACGUAUUUCAAG
Long non-coding RNA from Cucurbita maxima (winter squash), 100 nucleotides. RefSeq lists it as uncharacterized. The record is from RefSeq and is a predicted model, not a curated record. NCBI's taxonomy places the organism in Eukaryota, Viridiplantae, Streptophyta, Magnoliopsida, Cucurbitales, Cucurbitaceae. The transcript is spliced from 3 exons.